UUGAAUUAUGUAGGGUAUAUUGUACUUUAUUGUAAAUCACUAACACCUAAUACUUUUCUCACUUUCUUCAUCUUCUUCUCUCAUCUUCAUCACCUUCAACAAUCCUACCCAGAAAGAAGAAAAAAUCAAUAGCACAAAUUAAAACACAUAAACUAGAAUUAAAACACAUAAACCUUCAAAUAGAAUUAAACCCAUAUUUUUUUUUUCUUAAAAAAACCAGAAAUCAUCAUCAUUAGCAUCAACAACACAAAUCAAAUUCAACCCAUUUUAAUUCUUUUCAUCAUCAUCUUCAUGAAUUAAAAACAAUGGAUUUCUCCAAAUUCAGCACAUCAACAACACGAUACUUUGAACCAACAACAUCAUAAAAAAAUAUCUCUCUCUUCCCUUUCUCUCUUCCAAUCCAUUCAUAGAAACAUAACAAAAAAAAUUGAAUUCUUGCUUUUUUUCUCUUCCCUUUCUCUCAAAUGUGUGGUACUGUAAUCACACAUAAUCAAAUGUGGGGUUUAUUUCAAUUCUUCCUUCCAGUAACUUUAAGUUACAAUUCAUGGGAUUUGAUUUUGGAUAACGUCUGAAUAAAUAAAAAAUAAAACUUUAUUGAUUUAUUUAGGAUUUUAUGAGAUCCAAUUUCUUAGUUUAUGAGUUUCAACUGAAGCAAAUCGAAGUACAUUCCUUCGGGGAGAGUUCGAACGGGAUAAGAAGAAAGUGUGGGAGAUGGGUGAUCUAUGGAAGUAUGGAGAUGAGGGAGAGACACGCUGAAGAAGAAGAAAAUAAGAUAGAAGACCUUUUGUAAUCUUUUUGCAACCUUAUCACUUAUUUUGGUGGGUUUGGCUUUGAAUAAAUUUUGCCCUUUGUAAUAAUAUAAAGCUAUUUUGUAAAUGAAUCUAGGUAUUUUUGUUGCGUUGAAUUUGUGGAAGCCAUGAAUUCAUGAUCUUGAAGGCGUGAGUUGAUGUUGAAUUUGAGUUUUUUCAGGUAUAUUGUAUGAAUGUUGAUGAAUUUUGUAUAAACAUGAAAAAGCGGUGGAAGGAAAAAGAUGAAGAGAGGGAAAAAAAAUUAUGUGGUGAUGGUUCACUAUUGUAUAUAAUGGACCUGCAAUCGAAUGGUUGAAAUCAUAUCAAAAAUGUUAGAAAUUAAAAAACUAACGGAGAUGACCAAAAUAGUAAACGGCAG
Molecule: long non-coding RNA, 1167 nt
Filed under: Medicago truncatula (barrel medic)
Lineage: Eukaryota; Viridiplantae; Streptophyta; Magnoliopsida; Fabales; Fabaceae
Description: long non-coding RNA (MTRU_LNC000883)
Source: RNAcentral